GUGAAGAACGUAGCGAAAUGCGAUACGUAAUGUGAAUUGCAGAAUUCAGUGAAUCAUCGAAUCUUUGAACGCAUAUUGCGCUCUCUGGUAUUCCGGAGAGCAUGCUUGUUUGAGUAUCAGUAAACACCUCAACUUCCAUAUCUUUUUUGAAAUGGGAGUUGGACUUGAGUGAUCCCAACGCUUUUCCUCACCGAAAAGUGGCGGGUUACUUGAAAUGCAGGUGCAGCUGGACUUUUCUCUGAGCUAUAAGCAUAUCUAUUUAGUCUGCCUAAAAACAGAUUAUUACCUUUGCUGCAGCUAACAUAAAGGAGAUUAGUUCUUGUGCUGACUGAUGCAGGAUUCACAAAGACAGGCUUCGGCCGACUUUGUAAACUCGAUCUCAAAUCAAGUAAGACUACCCGCUGAACUUAAGCAUAUCAAUAAGCGGAGGA
This 431-nucleotide unclassified non-coding RNA is filed under the name soil metagenome. RNAcentral describes it as "partial contains 5.8S ribosomal RNA, internal transcribed spacer 2, and large subunit ribosomal RNA". The stretch from base 2 to 119 matches the Rfam family "5.8S ribosomal RNA", at positions 37 to 154 of the family's 154-position model. The record is from RNAcentral.